ACGCACCUGCGAAGGCAAGCGGAUCUCUUAAAGCCGUUCUCAGUUCGGACUGUAGGCUGCAACUCGCCUACACGAAGCUGGAAUCGCUAGUAAUCGCGGAUCAGCACGCCGCGGUGAAUACGUUCCCGGGCCUUGUACACACCGCCCGUCACACCAUGAGAGUCUGUAACACCCAAAGCCGGUGGGAUAACCUUUAUAGGAGUCAGCCGUCUAAGGUAGGACAGAUGAUUAGGGUGAAGUCGUAACAAGGUAUC
This 254-nucleotide ribosomal RNA is filed under the name uncultured bacterium. RNAcentral's name for it is "partial 16S ribosomal RNA". It matches the Rfam family "Bacterial small subunit ribosomal RNA", at positions 1247 to 1500 of the family's 1533-position model. The record is from RNAcentral.